UCCAGGUGGUAUGCCUCCCAACAACUUUAAUCCCAGCAUGCCUCCUCACAACCGCCAAGGCGAUUAUCCAGGAGGACCACCACCUCCGAACAAUUUUAACAGACCACCACCGCCACCACCGCACAACUACAGCGGACCACCACCACCACCACCACACAACUUCAGCGGACCACCACCACCACCACCACACAACUUCAGCGGACCACCACCACCACCACCGCACAACUUCAACGGACCACCACCACCACCACCGCACAACUUCAACGGACCACCACCACCACCGUACAACUUCAACGGGCCACCACCUCCUCCACCAAACAACUUCAACGGACCACCACCUCCUCCACCGAACAACUUCAACGGACCACCACCACGCAACUAUGCUUCAGCAUCACCAAAUCACGGAGGAGGAGGAGGAGGAGCACCCCACAACUAUGGGGGGCCACAGGAAAACAACUAUUGGGGAGCACAGCAGCCAAACAACUAUGGUGGAC
This 494-nucleotide long non-coding RNA is filed under the name Cucumis sativus (cucumber). RNAcentral describes it as "long non-coding RNA (CSAT_LNC001432)". Lineage: Eukaryota; Viridiplantae; Streptophyta; Magnoliopsida; Cucurbitales; Cucurbitaceae. The record is from RNAcentral.